This 338-nucleotide unclassified non-coding RNA is filed under the name soil metagenome. RNAcentral describes it as "partial contains 5.8S ribosomal RNA, internal transcribed spacer 2, and large subunit ribosomal RNA". The stretch from base 1 to 119 matches the Rfam family "5.8S ribosomal RNA", at positions 36 to 154 of the family's 154-position model. The record is from RNAcentral.
AUGAAGAACGCAGCGAAAUGCGAUAAGUAGUGUGAAUUGCAGAAUUCAGUGAAUCAUCGAAUCUUUGAACGCACAUUGCGCCCCUUGGUAUUCCAUGGGGCAUGCCUGUUCGAGCGUCAUUUGUACCUUCAAGCUCUGCUUGGUGUUGGGUGUUUGUCUCGCCUCUGCGCGCAGACUCGCCUCAAAACAAUUGGCAGCCGGCGUAUUGAUUUCGGAGCGCAGUACAUCUCGCGCUUUGCACUCAUAACGACGACGUCCAUAAAGUACAUUUUUUACACUCUUGACCUCGGAUCAGGUAGGGAUACCCGCUGAACUUAAGCAUAUCAAUAAGCGGAGGA